Molecule: ribosomal RNA, 763 nt
Filed under: uncultured Streptococcus sp.
Lineage: Bacteria; Bacillati; Bacillota; Bacilli; Lactobacillales; Streptococcaceae
Description: bacterial SSU rRNA
Rfam family: Bacterial small subunit ribosomal RNA
Source: RNAcentral
GACGAACGCUGGCGGCGUGCCUAAUACAUGCAAGUAGAACGCUGAAGGAGGAGCUUGCUUCUCUGGAUGAGUUGCGAACGGGUGAGCAACGCGUAGGUAACCUGCCUGGUAGCGGGGGAUAACUAUUGGAAACGAUAGCUAAUACCGCAUAACAGUAGAUAUCGCAUGAUAGCUGCUUGAAAGGUGCAAUUGCACCACUACCAGAUGGACCUGCGUUGUAUUAGCUAGUUGGUGAGGUAACGGCUCACCAAGGCGACGAUACAUAGCCGACCUGAGAGGGUGAUCGGCCACACUGGGACUGAGACACGGCCCAGACUCCUACGGGAGGCAGCAGUAGGGAAUCUUCGGCAAUGGACGGAAGUCUGACCGAGCAACGCCGCGUGAGUGAAGAAGGUUUUCGGAUCGUAAAGCUCUGUUGUAAGAGAAGAACGAGUGUGAGAGUGGAAAGUUCACACUGUGACGGUAUCUUACCAGAAAGGGACGGCUAACUACGUGCCAGCAGCCGCGGUAAUACGUAGGUCCCGAGCGUUGUCCGGAUUUAUUGGGCGUAAAGCGAGCGCAGGCGGUUAGAUAAGUCUGAAGUUAAAGGCUGUGGCUUAACCAUAAUACGCUUUGGAAACUGUUUAACUUGAGUGCAAGAGGGGAGAGUGGAAUUCCAUGUGUAGCGGUGAAAUGCGUAGAUAUAUGGAGGAACACCGGUGGCGAAAGCGGCUCUCUGGCUUGUAACUGACGCUGAGGCUCGAAAGCGUGGGGAGCAAACAGG